AUUGAACGCUGGCGGCAUGCUUUACACAUGCAAGUCGAACGGCAGCACGGGCUUCGGCCUGGUGGCGAGUGGCGAACGGGUGAGUAAUGCAUCGGAACGUACCGUGUAAUGGGGGAUAACGUAGCGAAAGUUACGCUAAUACCGCAUACGCCCUGAGGGGGAAAGCGGGGGAUCGUAAGACCUCGCGUUAUACGAGCGGCCGAUGUCGGAUUAGCUAGUUGGUGGGGUAAAGGCCUACCAAGGCGACGAUCCGUAGCGGGUCUGAGAGGAUGAUCCGCCACACUGGGACUGAGACACGGCCCAGACUCCUACGGGAGGCAGCAGUGGGGAAUUUUGGACAAUGGGCGCAAGCCUGAUCCAGCCAUGCCGCGUGAGUGAAGAAGGCCUCGGGUUGUAACUAGCUUUGUACGGUACGAAACGGUAGAGCUCUAAUACAGUUUGCUAAUGACGGUACCGUAAGAA
Molecule: ribosomal RNA, 462 nt
Filed under: uncultured bacterium
Lineage: Bacteria
Description: bacterial SSU rRNA
Rfam family: Bacterial small subunit ribosomal RNA
Source: RNAcentral